GUGCUCGCUUUGGCAGCACACAUCCUAAAACCGGAACAACACAGAGAAGAUUAGCAUGGCCCCUGCGCAAGGAUGACACACAAAUUUGUGAAGCAUUCCAUAUAUUU
Molecule: small nuclear RNA, 107 nt
Filed under: Ursus thibetanus thibetanus
Lineage: Eukaryota; Metazoa; Chordata; Mammalia; Carnivora; Ursidae
Source: RNAcentral